Molecule: ribosomal RNA, 449 nt
Filed under: uncultured bacterium
Lineage: Bacteria
Description: partial 16S ribosomal RNA
Rfam family: Bacterial small subunit ribosomal RNA
Source: RNAcentral
AACGAACGCUGGCGGCAUGCCUAACACAUGCAAGUCGAACGGGACCUUCGGGUCUAGUGGCGCACGGGUGCGUAACGCGUGGGAAUCUACCCUUGGGUUCGGAAUAACAGUUAGAAAUGACUGCUAAUACCGGAUGAUGACGUAAGUCCAAAGAUUUAUCGCCCAAGGAUGAGCCCGCGUAAGAUUAGCUUGUUGGUGGGGUAAUGGCCUACCUAGGCGACGAUCUUUAGCUGGUCUGAGAGGAUGAUCAGCCACACUGGGACUGGGACACGGCCCAGACUCCUACGGGAGGCAGCAGUGGGGAAUAUUGGACAAUGGGCGAAAGCCUGAUCCAGCAAUGCCGCGUGAGUGAUGAAGGCCUUAGGGUUGUAAAGCUCUUUUACCAGGGAUGAUAAUGACAGUACCUGGAGAAUAAGCUCCGGCUAACUCCGUGCCAGCAGCCGCGGUAA